GAGAAUUGGUUAGUUGUCGCUGCUAACGAUGAUUAGGGCAUUUAAUUUGUCCGGUUCUCU
RNAcentral lists this transfer RNA (60 nucleotides) under Paragonimus heterotremus. Its description in RNAcentral is "tRNA-Ser". The record is from RNAcentral. Lineage: Eukaryota; Metazoa; Platyhelminthes; Trematoda; Plagiorchiida; Troglotrematidae.